AGAUUGAACGCUGGCGGCAUGCUUUACACAUGCAAGUCGAACGGUAACAGGCCGCAAGGUGCUGACGAGUGGCGAACGGGUGAGUAAUGCAUCGGAACGUGCCCAGUCGUGGGGGAUAACGCAGCGAAAGCUGUGCUAAUACCGCAUACGAUCUAUGGAUGAAAGCGGGGGACCGAAAGGCCUCGCGCGAUUGGAGCGGCCGAUGUCAGAUUAGCUAGUUGGUGGGGUAAAGGCCCACCAAGGCGACGAUCUGUAGCUGGUCUGAGAGGACGACCAGCCACACUGGAACUGAGACACGGUCCAGACUCCGUACGGGAGCAGCAGGU
RNAcentral lists this ribosomal RNA (326 nucleotides) under uncultured soil bacterium. RNAcentral describes it as "bacterial SSU rRNA". It matches the Rfam family "Bacterial small subunit ribosomal RNA", at positions 26 to 355 of the family's 1533-position model. The record is from RNAcentral.